RNAcentral lists this ribosomal RNA (429 nucleotides) under Gemmatimonadota bacterium. RNAcentral's name for it is "Gemmatimonadetes bacterium partial 16S ribosomal RNA". It matches the Rfam family "Bacterial small subunit ribosomal RNA", at positions 355 to 776 of the family's 1533-position model. Lineage: Bacteria; Pseudomonadati; Gemmatimonadota. The record is from RNAcentral.
UAGGGAAUCUUCGGCAAUGGACGAAAGUCUGACCGAGCAACGCCGCGUGAGUGAAGAAGGUUUUCGGAUCGUAAAACUCUGUUGUUAGAGAAGAACAAGGACGUUAGUAACUGAACGUCCCCUGACGGUAUCUAACCAGAAAGCCACGGCUAACUACGUGCCAGCAGCCGCGGUAAUACGUAGGUGGCAAGCGUUGUUCGGAUUUAUUGGGCGUAAAGCGAGCGCAGGCGGUUUCUUAAGUCUGAUGUGAAAGCCCCCGGCUCAACCGGGGAGGGUCAUUGGAAACUGGGAGACUUGACUGCAGAAGAGGAGAGUGGAAUUCCAUGUGUAGCGGUGAAAUGCGUAGAUAUAUGGAGGAACACCAGUGGCGAAGGCGGCUCUCUGGUCUGUAACUGACGCUGAGGCUCAAAAGCGUGGGGAGCAAACAGG